This 165-nucleotide ribosomal RNA is filed under the name Sphaceloma sp. RNAcentral's name for it is "partial large subunit ribosomal RNA". It matches the Rfam family "Eukaryotic large subunit ribosomal RNA", at positions 99 to 261 of the family's 3401-position model. Lineage: Eukaryota; Fungi; Ascomycota; Dothideomycetes; Myriangiales; Elsinoaceae. The record is from RNAcentral.
CGGCAACAGCUCAAAUUUGAAAUCUGGCCCCUCCGGGGUCCGAGUUGUAAUUUGUAGAGGAUGCUUUGGGGUUGCCACCGGUCUAAGUUCCUUGGAACAGGACGUCACAGAGGGUGAGAAUCCCGUACGUGACCGGCCAGGCGCUCCGUGUAAAGCUCCUUCGAC